Molecule: ribosomal RNA, 491 nt
Filed under: Lacticaseibacillus rhamnosus
Lineage: Bacteria; Bacillati; Bacillota; Bacilli; Lactobacillales; Lactobacillaceae
Description: bacterial SSU rRNA
Rfam family: Bacterial small subunit ribosomal RNA
Source: RNAcentral
UGCCAGCAGCCGCGGUAAUACUAGUUGGCAAGCGUUAUCCGGAUUUAUUGGGCGUAAAGCGAGCGCAGGCGGUUUUUUAAGUCUGAUGUGAAAGCCCUCGGCUUAACCGAGGAAGUGCAUCGGAAACUGGGAAACUUGAGUGCAGAAGAGGACAGUGGAACUCCAUGUGUAGCGGUGAAAUGCGUAGAUAUAUGGAAGAACACCAGUGGCGAAGGCGGCUGUCUGGUCUGUAACUGACGCUGAGGCUCGAAAGCAUGGGUAGCGAGCAGGAUUAGAUACCCUGGUAGUCCAUGCCGUAAACGAUGAAUGCUAGGUGUUGGAGGGUUUCCGCCCUUCAUUGCCGCAGCUAACGCAUUAAGCAUUCCGCCUGGGGAGUACGACCGCAAGGUUGAAACUCAAAGGAAUUGACGGGGGCCCGCACAAGCGGUGGAGCAUGUGGUUUAAUUCGAAGCAACGCGAAGAACCUUACCAGGUCUUGACAUCUUUUGAUC